UGGUUAAAAAGCUCGUAGUUGGAUCUCAACAGCCUUGAAGCGGUUAACUUUGUAGUUUUACUGCUUUAUAGGCUGUGCUUUUGCUGGAGGUUUAGGGGUGCUCUUGAUCGAGUGUCCCUGGAUGCCAGCAGGUUUACUUUGAAAAAAUUAGAGUGCUCAAAGCAGGCUAAAAUGCCUGAAUAUUCGUGCAUGGAAUAAUAGAAUAGGAUGUCGAUCCUAUUUUGUUGGUUUUCGGGACUCGACAUAAUGAUAAAUAGGGACAGUCGGGGGCAUUUGUAUUCAAACGACAGAGGUGAAAUUCUUGGACCGUUUGAAGACAAACUACUGCGAAAGCAUUUGCCAAGAAUGUUUUCAUUAAUCAAGAACGAAAGUUAGAGGUUCGAAGGCGAUUAGAUACCGCCCUAGUUCUAACCAUAAACGAUGCCAGCUAGCGAUCUGCCUGCGUUUUUACUGUAGACUGGGCAGGAAGCUUCCGGGAAACCAAAGCAUUUGGGUUCCAGGGGAAGUAUGGUUGCAAAGCUGA
RNAcentral lists this ribosomal RNA (523 nucleotides) under uncultured marine eukaryote. RNAcentral describes it as "SSU rRNA". It matches the Rfam family "Eukaryotic small subunit ribosomal RNA", at positions 616 to 1140 of the family's 1831-position model. The record is from RNAcentral.